GCCAGCUUCACCAACCCAACUCGAAGCCUUUAGUGAAUGUCCUUAUGAAAAUACGAUUUUUAGUAGAUGUAAUUACAUCAACCAGGUGAGAUUUUUUUGUAGUCCAAUUCCUUAAUAACUUAAUUUAUUUGUUAUUGUUUGCAACAGGUUGGAGAUGGGGAUGAUGACGGACCAGCCAGCCGAACUCAAAUUGGAUUAGGCAUCAUGCGCCACCUGGUUGCUGAAGCUUGAGAGGACCUUUAUGGACAAAAAAUCCUAUUCAAGAUAGUUCUGUCUGGAAUUCCAUACCACCUCCAGAGAAUGGAAAAUGUCUUCAAAUUCUGAUGGGCCAGCAGCCUGAAGUGGUCAAACAAUUUGAAACUGGAUGCAGCACAGAAUCCCAUAUUUCAAGAGAAUGCAGAUGUCUGAGAGGAAAUGAUGAAGAACCAGCCAGCCAGCCAGCCCAUCCGACAAGCUGCCCACCCGGCCGAGCUAUCCUUGGUGUACCCCAACAUUCCAACAUGCGGAAAUUUGUUAGAACAUCAUGAUCAUAUAAUGGAAAACAGUAUCUAAACUGAAGCAUAAUAUGACCAGCCUGGUUGCUGAAGCCACAGAGGUAUUUUUAAGAACAAGAACCUGUGCUGGUCAAAACGUUGUCUUGUAUGAUAUAUGAUACCGGCUCUCGGCAAGGAUUUCUGAGAAAGAAAUACCGUUUCCAACUGGCACCCCUUUCAGUGGAGACCAGACAAUCAGAGAAGCACCUCCUGGCAAACUGGGCAGCAAGUGGGGGCAACACAGACUCAUUUAAAAAAUAGGAUAAGUUUAUCGGUUAAAACAUUCUCAUUUUUCCGUGACGUGAAAUAUUUCAAAUGAGACACAAAUAUUGUUUGGAACAUUUAUGCAGUAUUGUGCUGCUCCAAAUGGGUUUUCUUGUAAGGCUCAAAGAGAAUUGUUUGUUUCGGAUAAACCGACUCUACCUGAUGAAAGCCGCUGACCCACAAUGAUCUUUUCCAUAUUUAAGGAAAUGGUGGCAGGCCAUUUUGAUAAAGGAAUUGUGUGAUUUGGCAGAGAGAGGAUGAUCCCUGUGUGUUCUAACUUGUUUCCAAACCUUUUAUUCAAUGAACCAAUGGACAUUAUACAUGAAUGGCUCCAUGUACUAAUUGUUUUGAGGAAAAUCUCCUCUAAAAAAAAAAAAAUCCCUAGAGAAUUUCAAAAAAUACCAUACAAAAACAUAAACAUAAACUGACAUUAUUUUUUGACAGAAUAAAGCUCCAUUACAAAAGCAAUAUUAUAUUAGUGACAUUUGCAAGAAAAAGCGCCAUUUGCAAGAAACUGAUCUUGACAUUAAGUACAUGUAUUAUAUGAGUGACGUAAGCAAGAAAAAGCGCCAUUUGCAAGAAACUGAUCUUGACAUUAAGUACAUGUAUUAUAUGAGUGACGUUUGCAAGAAAAAGCACUAUUUGCAAGUCACUGUUCUUGACAUUAAGUACAUAUAAAAAAUGUCCUUCCUAAUCUAACUAGUAGUUUCGGGGAUGUUACCCUAAACAUAUAUAUUUAUGCUACCCUAUUGCAUGAAUGGGGGAUACAUAUAGUUUUUGCCCUGUUCGUCAGUCAGUCCAGGUGUCAGUAGGUCACACUUCCUUUCCACUCAGUAUCUAAAGAACACUUAUGCCCAGGAACUUCAUACUUGGUAUGUAGAUUUGUCAUGAUUAGUAGAUGACCCCUAUUGAUUUUGAGAUCAGUUGGUUAAAGGUCAAGGUCACUGUGAGCCCCGCUUGAGCCCUGGAAUUUCAUACUUGGUUUGCUAGUUUGUCUUGAUUAAUAGAUGACUCCUAUUGAUUUGAGGUCAGUUGGUCAAGGUCACAGUGAACUUCAGGUGGAAAAACUAUUUUUUGUCACAAGACAGAACGUGACACUUCUUUCAGCUCAACAACUAAAGAAAGCUUGGAAGCAGGACCUUCAUACUUGGACCCAGGAACAUCAUACUUGAGUGUUGCAGUACCAGUACAGAGUAUUGACCCAGUGGCCAUCCUACACAAAGGCACACCUUUAUAGCUGUAUACCGCAAACAAUGUCGGUCUUCUUGGCUUGUCCACAGCAUUCCUGAGCCAGAUAACGAUUAAGACACAGCUCAUGGAGCAGUGCCUUCCACAACCAAAAGGGCUGUCAAGAGGACUGGAGGCCUAGUGUUGCAGUACCAGUACAGAGUAUUGACCCAGUGGCCAUCCUACACAAAGGCACACCUUUAUAGCUGUAUACCGCAAACAAUGUCGGUCUUCUUGGCUUGUCCACAGCAUUCCUGAGCCAGAUAACGAUUAAGACACAGCUCAUGGAGCAGUGCCUUCCACAACCAAAAGGGCUGUCAAGAGGACUGGAGGCCUUCAUUAUGGCCUUCAGCUGAUGGUCAGCACGAGUAAGCCCAGAUGUGGAGUUUUGCCUACACACGGCAAAAUGUGCGAAUAUGGAGACUGGAGGAAAACGCAGCCAUGGUGAUAAGCCCAGCCAGAUAAUGUAUGGGGACACAUCUAUCGACAACACAGACAUGUACACUCAUUUGGGUAUCUUACAGUCGCCCAUUUGAAAACUACCAUAUAAUAUUGAUGAUGUCUGACAAUGUGUUGGAUGAAUGUUAUUUUAAAUGCCCUUUUCAUGCGUUACCUUGUCAUGUGCAUCUUUUAUCAUUUUACUGGGUUAUAUACUUACAUAUUGUGUCUUAUGCAAAUA
Mya arenaria is the source of this 2703-nucleotide long non-coding RNA. RefSeq lists it as uncharacterized. Lineage: Eukaryota; Metazoa; Mollusca; Bivalvia; Myida; Myidae. The record is from RefSeq and is a predicted model, not a curated record. The transcript is spliced from 11 exons.